Molecule: small RNA, 78 nt
Filed under: Sphingomonas koreensis
Lineage: Bacteria; Pseudomonadati; Pseudomonadota; Alphaproteobacteria; Sphingomonadales; Sphingomonadaceae
Description: Makes More Granules Regulator RNA (mmgR)
Rfam family: Makes More Granules Regulator RNA (mmgR)
About the family: SuhB later renamed mmgR (makes more granules regulator) was a putative non-coding RNA found multiple times in the Agrobacterium tumefaciens genome and related alpha-proteobacteria. Other non-coding RNAs uncovered in the same analysis include: speF, ybhL, metA, and serC.
Source: Rfam by way of RNAcentral
AGGGCGUGCCUUUCAGGCAUCCUCUCCUAAACCUUUCAUGGGUCGGUCCCCUUGGGCCGGCCCUUUUUUUUGCCCGAA